UACAAUCUUUGACUCUUCAUCUUAUUGAUUUUUUUUGCGAUUAAUAUUUUUAUUUUUAUUAGAUAAUAAAACAUGAAUUAUACUUUACGCGUGACUAUUUUUUGAUUUUUAAAUAAAAUUUUCAAAUAAGACAGAUGGUUAAACGCUGGAGACAGAAA
RNAcentral lists this microRNA precursor (158 nucleotides) under Oryza brachyantha (malo sina). Its description in RNAcentral is "MIR812 microRNA precursor family". It matches the Rfam family "MIR812 microRNA precursor family", at positions 27 to 187 of the family's 205-position model. The record is from Rfam by way of RNAcentral. Lineage: Eukaryota; Viridiplantae; Streptophyta; Magnoliopsida; Poales; Poaceae.